AUGGAAUUAAGAUUUCCCAGGUUUAGCCAAGGCUUAGCUCAGGACCCCACUACUCGUCGUAUUUGGUUUGGUAUUGCUACCGCACAUGAUUUCGAAAUUCAUGAUGAUAUUACUGAAGAACGUCUUUAUCAGAACAUUUUUGCUUCUCACUUUGGGCAAUUAGCAAUAAUCUUUCUAUGGACGUCCGGAAAUCUGUUUCAUGUAGCUUGGCAAGGAAAUUUUGAAUCAUGGAUACAGGAUCCUUUACACGUAAGACUUAUUGCUCAUGUGAUUUGGGAUCCUCAUUUUGGUCAACCCGCUGUGGAAGCCUUUACUCGAGGAGGUGCUGCUGGUCCAGUGAAUAUUGCUUAUUCUGGAGUUUAUCAGUGGUGGUAUACAAUAGGAUUACGCACCAAUGAGGAUCUUUAUACUGGAGCUCUUUUUCUACUAUUUCUUUCUACACUGUCCUUAAUAGCGGGUUGGUUACAUCUACAACCCAAAUGGAAACCAAGCCUUUCAUGGUUCAAAAACGCGGAAUCUCGUCUCAAUCAUCAUUUGUUAGGACUUUUCGGCGUAAGUUCUUUGGCUUGGACAGGACAUUUAGUUCAUGUUGCUAUUCCCGCAUCCAGGGGGGAGUACGUUCGAUGGAAUAAUUUCUUAGAUGUAUUACCCUAUCCCCAGGGGUUGGGACCCCUUUUGACGGGUCAAUGGAAUCUUUAUGCCCAAAACCCUGAUUCGAGUAAUCAUUUAUUUGGUACCGCUCAAGGAGCGGGAACUGCCAUUCUAACUCUUCUUGGGGGAUUCCAUCCACAAACACAAAGUUUGUGGCUGACCGAUAUGGCUCACCAUCAUUUAGCUAUUGCAUUUAUUUUUCUCAUUGCCGGUCACAUGUAUCGAACUAACUUCGGAAUUGGGCACAGUAUUAAAGAUCUUUUAGAAGCGCAUACUCCUCCGGGGGGUCGAUUAGGGCGUGGGCAUAAGGGCCUUUAUGACACAAUCAACAAUUCGAUUCAUUUUCAGUUAGGUCUUGCUCUAGCUUCUUUAGGGGUUAUUACUUCCUUAGUAGCUCAACAUAUGUACUCUUUACCUCCUUAUGCAUUCAUAGCACAAGACUUUACUACUCAAGCUGCUUUAUAUACUCAUCACCAAUAUAUUGCAGGGUUCAUCAUGACAGGGGCUUUUGCUCAUGGAGCUAUUUUUUUCAUUAGGGAUUACAAUCCGGAACAGAAUGAGGAUAAUGUAUCGGCAAGAAUGUUAGACCAUAAAGAAGCUAUCAUAUCUCAUUUAAGUUGGGCUAGCCUCUUUCUAGGAUUCCAUACCUUGGGCCUUUAUGUUCAUAACGACGUCAUGCUUGCUUUUGGUACUCCAGAAAAGCAAAUCUUGAUCGAACCUAUAUUUGCCCAAUGGAUACAAUCUGCUCAUGGCAAGACGACAUAUGGGUUCGAUAUACUCUUAUCUUCAACGAAUGGCCCCGCUUUCAAUGCGGGUCGAAGCCUAUGGUUGCCCGGAUGGUUGAAUGCUGUUAAUGAGAAUAGUAAUUCUCUUUUCUUAACAAUAGGACCUAGGGAUUUCUUGGUUCAUCAUGCUAUUGCUCUAGGUUUGCAUACAACUACAUUGAUUUUAGUAAAGGGCGCUUUAGAUGCACACGGUUCCAAAUUAAUGCCGGAUAAAAAGGAUUUUGGAUAUAGUUUUCCUUGUGACCGCCCAGGGCGCGGCGGUACUUGUGAUAUUUCUGCUUGGGACGCAUUUUAUUUGGCAGUUUUCUAG
This 1746-nucleotide ribosomal RNA is filed under the name Triticum aestivum (bread wheat). RNAcentral's name for it is "partial small subunit ribosomal RNA". The record is from RNAcentral. Lineage: Eukaryota; Viridiplantae; Streptophyta; Magnoliopsida; Poales; Poaceae.